RNAcentral lists this ribosomal RNA (404 nucleotides) under uncultured bacterium. RNAcentral's name for it is "bacterial SSU rRNA". It matches the Rfam family "Bacterial small subunit ribosomal RNA", at positions 355 to 776 of the family's 1533-position model. The record is from RNAcentral.
UGGGGAAUCUUAGACAAUGGGCGCAAGCCUGAUCUAGCCAUGCCGCGUGAGUGAUGAAGGCCCUAGGGUUGUAAAGCUCUUUCAGCUGGGAAGAUAAUGACGGUACCAGCAGAAGAAGCCCCGGCUAACUCCGUGCCAGCAGCCGCGGUAAUACGGAGGGGGCUAGCGUUGUUCGGAAUUACUGGGCGUAAAGCGCGCGUAGGCGGACUGAAAAGUUGGGGGUGAAAUCCCGGGGCUCAACCUCGGAACUGCCUUCAAAACUAUCAGUCUGGAGUUCGAGAGAGGUGAGUGGAAUUCCGAGUGUAGAGGUGAAAUUCGUAGAUAUUCGGAGGAACACCAGUGGCGAAGGCGGCUCACUGGCUCGAUACUGACGCUGAGGUGCGAAAGCGUGGGGAGCAAACAGG